UCAUCCUCAGUUCGGACUGGGGUCUGCAACCCGACCCCACGAAGCUGGAUUCGCUAGUAAUCGCGCAUCAGCCAUGGCGCGGUGAAUACGUUCCCGGGCCUUGUACACACCGCCCGUCAAGCCAUGAAAGCCCGGGGGGCGCCUGAAGUCCGUGACCGCGAGGGUCGGCCUAGGGUGAAACCGGUGAUUGGGGCUAAGUCGUAACAAGGUAGC
This 213-nucleotide ribosomal RNA is filed under the name uncultured bacterium. RNAcentral's name for it is "partial 16S ribosomal RNA". It matches the Rfam family "Bacterial small subunit ribosomal RNA", at positions 1282 to 1500 of the family's 1533-position model. The record is from RNAcentral.